Long non-coding RNA from Chelonia mydas (Green sea turtle), 404 nucleotides. RefSeq lists it as uncharacterized. NCBI's taxonomy places the organism in Eukaryota, Metazoa, Chordata, Testudines, Cheloniidae. The transcript is spliced from 2 exons. The record is from RefSeq and is a predicted model, not a curated record.
AAAAACCUAUCAUGGCAGCAGGCCAUAAGAGAGACCCAGUUUGGGAAUAUUUUAAUGAAGUUCUUCUACCUGUGAGUAAGACAGGUAUGUGUGCAAAAUGCAAAUGGUGCAACAAAGAACUGCAAGGCCUGGUUGCCUGAAUGAAACAUCAUCGUGAGAAGUGCUCCUUUUCAGGAGGAAGCUGUGUUGAAGACGAUGAAAAGAACAUGUCUGAACACGCAGGAUCUUCAGGAGAAUCCAUCCUCAACAUACAGGAUUCUGAAAACUAUCCACUUUCAAGAUCACCAUCCUUUUCUAUAGUUUCAGAGUUAUCUGCUAAUUAUAGUGUUUUAGUCACAUCAUGUAUGUCACAUAGCCACAGUAUAUCACCUGUAGCAAAGAGAAAAAAAAAUCUCCAUCAUCCA